GAUGAACGCUGGCGGCGUGCUUAACACAUGCAAGUCGAACGAUGAAGCCCAGCUUGCUGGGUGGAUUAGUGGCGAACGGGUGAGUAACACGUGAGUAACCUGCCCUCAACUCUGGGAUAAGCCUGGGAAAAUGGGUCUAAUACCGGAGAUGAGCGUCCACCGCAUGGUGGGUGUUGGAAAGAUUUCUCGGUUUUGGAUGGACUCGCGGCGUAUCAGCUUGUUGGUGAGGUAAUGGCUCACCAAGGCGGCGACGGGUAGCCGGCCUGAGAGGGUGACCGGCCACACUGGGACUGAGACACGGCCCAGACUCCUACGGGAGGCAGCAGUGGGGAAUAUUGCACAAUGGGCGCAAGCCUGAUGCAGCGACGCCGCGUGAGGGAUGACGGCCUUCGGGUUGUAAACCUCUUUCAGUAGGGAAGAAGCGACAGUGACGGUACCUGCAGAAGAAGCACCGGCUAACUACGUG
RNAcentral lists this ribosomal RNA (466 nucleotides) under uncultured bacterium. RNAcentral's name for it is "partial 16S ribosomal RNA". It matches the Rfam family "Bacterial small subunit ribosomal RNA", at positions 28 to 507 of the family's 1533-position model. The record is from RNAcentral.